GGCGUCGAGUGGCGGACGGGUGAGUAACGCGUAGGAAUCUACCAAAUAGCGGGGGAUAGCCCGGGGAAACCCGGAUUAAUACCGCAUACGCCCUAAGGGGGAAAGGCCGGGAUCUUCGGACCGGUCACUAUUGGAUGAGCCUGCGUCGGAUUAGCUUGUUGGUAGGGUAAUGGCCUACCAAGGCGACGAUCCGUAGCUGGUCUGAGAGGAUGAUCAGCCACACUGGGACUGAGACACGGCCCAGACUCC
Molecule: ribosomal RNA, 249 nt
Filed under: uncultured bacterium
Lineage: Bacteria
Description: partial 16S ribosomal RNA
Rfam family: Bacterial small subunit ribosomal RNA
Source: RNAcentral